UUUAGCAUAUCUUCAUGUAAUUUUUACAGACCCAUACCUUUUCUGAAUCUUGAGAGAUGCUUACAUUGUGUGGCAUACACUACCUGUGAUCGAUGUUAUUGCAUCAUACUUACCAUACAUGUAGUUUAUCUUUCCUCUGAUAGUUGCUAGGUUAAGAACCUGUGGAGAAAAUACGGUUUACUAAACAUUCCUCAAAACUAGCUUUGCACACUGUUCAAUUGAUCGUGUUGUUACAGGGUUUGUCUGUUUGCUUCUUGUUUUGCCACAUGAGCAAAUUUAGGUUAGAUCCCUCCAGGAGAUGUAAUGCAUAAUCACAGAAAGAGUAACUACAAACACAUGAAGCCAAGAGGAGGUAUUCAAGAAGGAAGAAGGGUUGCAUAUGGAGAAACUUCGGUUCGGAUCAUUCUGAGGUGAUAUGUAUGUGCAUCGGCCUUCAAAGAAAGGAGCAACGUGAAGCACAUAAACCUCACACCAAGAGUCAAGAGAAGGUAUUAUUCCACAAAAGGAACCACAGCAAUUGCCAAUUUAGAUAGGUUCCUUUCCACUCCAGUGAAGGAUUGGUCGGCCUGGAAAAGAACCAAUUGUUGAGCAAAGAAUAUAUCCUGUGCUUACACACACGUCUUCCUGUCCAUCUUUUAGGCGAAGAUGGCCUGGUUAACGAAACCAUGCUGUUCCUUGCAUACAAACAGCGAAUCCUCCUAUCCUGAAUUCCAUGGAUUCAAUUUCUGUGCAUAUAUAUAUAUAUCCUGAAUUCUCACGGUCU
Brachypodium distachyon (stiff brome) is the source of this 763-nucleotide long non-coding RNA. RefSeq lists it as uncharacterized. The transcript is spliced from 2 exons. The record is from RefSeq and is a predicted model, not a curated record. Lineage: Eukaryota; Viridiplantae; Streptophyta; Magnoliopsida; Poales; Poaceae.